Ooceraea biroi (clonal raider ant) is the source of this 963-nucleotide long non-coding RNA. RefSeq lists it as uncharacterized. NCBI's taxonomy places the organism in Eukaryota, Metazoa, Arthropoda, Insecta, Hymenoptera, Formicidae. The record is from RefSeq and is a predicted model, not a curated record.
AAACUCGUCCGGCGGCGUGCGGCUCCUUCCGAAGACGCUUUCAUACACGCGACGCGCACAACCACUACGCACAACGCGUACAACCUGCCGAACGAUUCAAUUGUCUUCGAUCAUUCCUGCGACGGGGUCAACGGUCUCUCGAGGAGGUAACGAGCGGUUAAAUUUAUUAUUCCUCGCAUUGCGCGCAGUCGGCUGUGACAUUUGCGACAUUCGCAACGGUUCCGGACGCGAUGCGUGAUUCACGCUUCGCGUCCGCAUGGAUGGACGAUUUCUACGUUCAGCAGAUUUGAGAUUACACACGUCGGCGACAGAGGCCUUGCGGGAAAAAGCGACGGACGGCGCGAGCUAACGAAUCAACGUACUCGCGACGAUCGAUACUCUGCGAUCUGCCAGUCAGCACAGUCAGCUGUGCCACGACUUGGUACAGCUCUCAUCAUCGCUCGCCGACCCCGAAUUGCACAUCCGGGUCGCUUAUUUAAAGCGUGAACACGCGGCCAUCGCGUGCGUCUUGCAUUCGCGCCCGUCAUUGUGCCGUUUUACCCGCACAUAUUGGCGCUUCGUCGAGAGCAGAGCGCACCGCUUUAGAGAGCCGUGCAUGCAACGUGUCUCGUAAACGAUCGCCAAGGUUCCAAGUCGCCAAUAGCGAGAAGCUUGAAAAGCUGAUCAGACCAAUGAGUUCAGUCGUUUUUUGAAACGUAGUCGCUUUUUAGGAGAAAAAAAACAACUGUCAGCAACUGAAGACAUUAAUUUUUAUGUUACAUGCAUAAUGUAACAUGUGAUUAACUCUCAAGGUUCUGUCACGGCACGUGUACUUGCGAUUUUAGAAACCGGUUGGACGUGACGAUGCUAUGUUCUAAACUCUAAAGCAUUCGGUAGUGUUACACAAUGCUGUUUCGUCGCUUCCGAUUAUUACCACCUGAAAGUUCAUUGAAAUAAAAUAAAACAUUGUCAUAUUGUUAGCGA